UUGGUCAAUGGGCGAAAGCCUGAACCAGCAACGCCGCGUGCGCGAUGAAGGUCUUCGGAUCGUAAAGCGCUUUUCUGGGAGAUGAGAAAGGACAGUAUCCCAGGAAUAAGUCUCGGCUAACUACGUGCCAGCAGCCGCGGUAACACGUAGGAGGCGAGCGUUAUCCGGAUUCACUGGGCGUAAAGCGCGUGCAGGCGGUUCGGUAAGUUGGGCGUGAAAGCUCCCGGCUCAACUGGGGAGAGGUCGUCCAAUACUACCGGGCUAGAGAGCAGAAGAGGAAGAUGGAAUUCCCGGUGUAGUGGUGAAAUGCGUAGAUAUCGGGAGGAACACCAGUGGCGAAGGCGAUCUUCUGGUCUGUUUCUGACGCUCAGACGCGACAGCUAGGGUAGUAAACGGGAUUAGAGACCCCGGUAAUCCUAGCCGUAAACGAUGUGAACUUGGCGUUGGUGGCUUAAACACCAUCAGUGCCGAAGCAAACGCGAUAAGUUCACCGCCUGG
This 498-nucleotide ribosomal RNA is filed under the name uncultured bacterium. Its description in RNAcentral is "bacterial SSU rRNA". It matches the Rfam family "Bacterial small subunit ribosomal RNA", at positions 364 to 876 of the family's 1533-position model. The record is from RNAcentral.